RNAcentral lists this unclassified non-coding RNA (9132 nucleotides) under Daphnia pulicaria. RNAcentral describes it as "protein Gawky-like, transcript variant X6". Lineage: Eukaryota; Metazoa; Arthropoda; Branchiopoda; Diplostraca; Daphniidae. The record is from RNAcentral.
UAUAACUGGUCAAUUGAAAUAAAAGGCGAAAGAAAGACGAUCUGGCAAUGGCGCAUGGACGAGACGCUGGCCCCCUUCCUCCUCUCUUUCUCUCACUCGUCGGCUGUGUGUGUAGACUGACUUGUGUUUUGUGUGCGCGCUCGUCGUAUCUCAGUGGAUGUUGAAACAGCCGCGGUCCCGCUCCAACGAAGACCCGUUUUUUUUCCCAACAACAACACAUAUAUUAUUUCUUACAAAGCAAAGAAUCAUCCAUUUCCAAGUACCUAAGUCAUUCUGUGAUGUGGUGACCAUGGCCUUGCAAAUGUCGCCUGUUGAUGCUCAUACUGAAAAUCAGCCUCCGUGUUAUUAUCAGCCUGCAGUGCUGCUGCCUGAAGCUGCUGCAGGAACGAGCAGUCAUCAAGUUGAGCCCUUUCAGUGCCAACUUUUGGAGUGCUCCUCUGCUGAACAAGUGCCUCUUCCUACUGAACAGAACCCUGUGCCACCAAAUUUAAGGAAAGUCGAACAAAGGGUGACUGCUGUGAGGAAGGAGGGUGCUGUUGUUGAGGAAGUGAUGGAUGCCUCAUUGCUCGUAGAGAGCAGUGAAGUGAGGCGUGGUCCAGAGGCUGAGGAUUUGAGAGGAGGAGCUGCUUCUGAAAUUCUCACCCUGCUGGAAGUUUCCCAAUCAUCUGUGAUAGACAGCUCCAACGUCGGUUCAUCCUCGGAGGGAUCGACAAACCCAGGCACGCACGAAUCCCUUAGCAACCCACCAUCUCCCUGUCUGGUCGAUAAAGUCGAGCAGAUAGGAUCAGCGGCCGCCAUUUCUUCCUCAAGCAAUAGUCUUAACGAUGCACAAAAGGAUUCGGGCGACGCAAUGAGGCAAAGCGGGUCGGCUUGGCGAUCGUGGAGCUCUAAUCAAUCGACUAUGACAUUCUCAGGAGAGACGAAUCCUCCAAGUGCAACUUACGCCGAUUCUGUUGUGUGCCCUCUGUCGACCUCUGCUCACUCCACCCUCGUCUCUUCUGCCUCUGCCGUCUCUGAUGAAGACUAUUGUGAUAGCAAGGAACCACUGAUCAUCAAGGGAAGCAGUCGCAGUAGUAGCACAUCGGUGUUCCUCCAAUAUCCCCCGAUCGGGCCGGCUUCCAACCGGCAUUGGGGCAUUCCUCAAGGAGCGGGUUUGCGCGGAGGUGCUGGCGAGACCUCCUUGAACAAUGGAGGAGGCAGCUGGGGUCAUCCGCCAGCUAGUGGAAGUUGGGGAGGCGGUGGAACCAACAACGCGGCGAACCAAGUCCAAGGCCAAUGGGGAGCAGCAUCCUCCACGGCCAACCAACGGAGCUCCGCAGCUAGUCAGGGACCAUCUGGAGCGCCGCCUCCUGGAUCCUCGGGACCGCAAGUUUCCAAUCAGCAGCUACCGACCGGUGCCCAACAACAGCAGCAACCUCAAGGAGCCUGGGAUACGACCAAGAAUGUCGUCACUGGCAAUGUCGUUCAACCAUCUGGAAGCUCGCCAAGCCAGGGUGUAUGGGCUGCUCAGGCUGCCAAAAACGUACCUAAUCAACCGACCAAUACCAACCCUAAUCAAGACAUAAUGGCUGCCAACCCCUUGAACUUACCUCAAGGUGGAAACGGUGGUGGAGGAGCCGUGGGAGGUUCUGGUCCUGCCACUCCUAGUUCUGGCAAACCGGAUCCUUUGGCUAACUACCGAGAUGUGAUUUACGCCCAGGACGGCUGGGGAGGCAACCAGGUGAAUCAAGACUCUCAAUGGGAUGUACCAACAUCACCAGAGCCAAAAGAAAUUCCGCUAUGGAAGCAAACUGCAAGCAAUGGAACUGAAGUCUGGGAAGUCAAUCUGCGCAACGGCGGCCAAGCCCCUCCGCCCAUCACUCAGACCAAGACACCAUGGGGAAGUCACACUCCUGCCACCAAUUUGGGAGGCACUUGGGGUGAAGAUGACGAAUCGUCGGAACCAUCCAGCAUGUGGACGGGUGUUCCGGCUAACAAUGGACCUACAAAUUGGGGAGCUAAUCCCAUGGGAGGUGCUCUGAACGCCGGACCAAUGGGCCCAACGUCAGUCCCAACUGGUGCUUCUGCCAUGGGUACGACAGGAAUUGCAUCGGGUAAUGGCAUGUGGGGUGGACAGCAGCAGCAGCAACAACAACAACAACAGCAGCAGCAACAACAACAACAGCCACAGAAAAAAGAGCCGGAGUGGGCUCCAGCCAGUUCAAUGCAAACUGGACCUGGUGGAUGGGGCGAAGUUCGUCCACCUCAACGCAUGGCUAUGUCUGGCAUCGGGCCAUCUGUCCCCGAAAAUAUGGGCAUGGCACCUUCUGCACCAUCUCACUGGCCUGGACCGCAAAACAAACCAGCGCCGCAAUGGAGUGGAAAUGUACCUACUAAGGAGAUGAAACCAACAGGGUGGGAUGAGCAUUCACCUCCUGCUCAGAAACGACAGGUGCCACAAUAUGACGACGGAACGGCCGUAUGGGGUAACCCAGCCCAAAUUCAACAGCCUGGUGGAUCAGUCGUCUGUCGCUGGAAAGAUAUGCCCAACCCCAAUGUGGCUGGCGGGCGUGGAAUGCAACAAUCUGGCCCGCCUCCUAACCGAAUGCCACCAGGACCGGGAAUGAAAACGGACAUGUCCUGGGGUCAAGCUCGUAACGGCUCCUGGGGAGAAGGAGGCGUAGGUGACAACAGUCAAAUGAACAACAUGUGGAUGGAUGACAAACCUGUAGGUGGUGGCUCGUGGAACGAGCCUCCUCAAACACCUACACCUUGGGCUGCUGGACCCAAACCAAAAACUCCCACAACUCCAAGUUGGGGUGAGAGUGAAGACAACUUGUCGUGGGGUCAGCCACAUAAGCAGGUUCCUAAACCUUUGGCCAAGGAAAUGAUAUGGAGCAGCAAGCAAUUCCGCAUCUUAUCCGAAAUGGGUUUCAAGAAAGAAGAUGUGGAGAAUGUCCUACGCAAUUGCAACAUGGUGAUGGAAGAUGCGCUGGAAACCCUACGCUCUGGUCGUGGGAUGUUUGGAGAUGACCAUGGCUCGGGUGGUUACGAUCCAAUGGGACCGCACGGAGGAGCGCCUUAUCCUCCUGGCGCUCGAUUUAAUCCCGGUCAACAAAUGCCUUUUGUUCACCCUGGAAGUGGUGGUGCACCUCAUCACUUAUUGAACAAUCCUGCUCCCAGUAUGGGAAUGAACCCUAAUCCUGCAUACAAAAUUCUUCAGCCUCAGCAACCGCCACCAAUGCCGCCUCAGGUCAAUCAAUCACAAAUGGUCCGGAACAUGUCACGAGUGGACACUGGCGUUUCGUCUGGUGCAGGAGCCGGUAGUCAACCUUCGCCGACUCAGUUACGAAUUCUCGUUCAGCAAAUCCAAAUGGCUGUACAGGCGGGUCAUUUGAAUCCCCAAAUUCUCAAUCAGCCACUGGCUCCUCAAACGCUGGUGCUGCUCAAUCAGUUGCUACAACAGAUCAAAGUACUUCAGCAGCUUGGUCAACAGCACAAUAUGGCUCUUAGUAGGCCGGGACAAGGACCUAUGGGGGGUCCCAUGAUGCAGCUCGUACCUCAAAUGAACAAAACGAAACAGCAGAUUGCCAGCUUGCAACAGCAGAUCGCCGCCCAACAGGCUCUGUAUGUCAAGCAACAAGGCCAAAUGAUGAAUCAACAGCCGCCAGGGGCUCCACCGAGCCAACCAUCUGAUCUAUUCAAAGUGGAUUCUGUUCACGGCAUUCAGUCCAAUUUGGACAGGAUGAGUUUACAGGAUUCUGGACAAUCUCGGCUCUCUCAGUGGAAGUACCCGCCACUCGACAAGGAUCUUUCUGAUCUAGGCAUGUCGGAAUUCAGUCGUGCACCUGGUAGCAGUGGUGGAGCUCCGGGUUCAAUUCCCAGCAACGCUAAACCGCCACUAGGUAGCAGCCUUUCUUCUCCCAACAUGAAUCCAGUCCUCGGUCAAGACGGCGGUGCUUGGUCGAGUCUUUCACGCUCUCAGUCCGAGACUGGCUGGCCUGACACGAAUCAGGAUUUGUCAGCUCCGGGAUCGGUGGGAGGCAACGAUGGAAAGGAUAGCUGGAGCAGUGCUGCCGGAACCUCUUCAUAUUCUGGUUCCAUAUCGGAUCUCGUUCCCGAAUUCGAGCCUGGCAAACCAUGGAAGGGACCACAGAUCAAAACGGCAGAUGACGAUCCAACUCUCACUCCCGGAACUUUUGCCAUGUCUGGCCUGAAUGAGGCCGACGUUUACUCAAACAACGCAUCAAAAGGAGGACAGAGCUCAACCAAAGCUUCACCUCCUCCUGUGGGAACUGGUGGAACAAGCUCCUCGAAUGAAUCGGGCUUCCCCACCCUGGGUCUUUCUAAUUCCACCUGGUCUUUCAAUCCGUCUUCGGCGUCGUCGAGUUCCGUCCCGUCUACGUCGACUCCUUACAGUUCUGCCAAGAUUGCACCAAAAUCGUCUUGGUCUGACGCCCCGCCGCCAUCAGCGGACCCGUGGAGCGCACCAAACAAGCCUCGUGGUCCGCCGCCAGGCAUCACCCCUUCGGCAGGCGUCGGCCCAAAGACUGCCGGUCGCGACUGGAGUGCAGCUGGCAGCCGCUCACCUUGGCCUGGAACUAAUACUACCGGCUCUGGAGGCACGUGGGCCGGUUCUCUCAAUGGUUCGUCGUCGUGGCUCGUGUUACGUAACUUGACCCCGCAGAUCGAUGGCUCGACGCUCAAAACAUUGUGCGUCCAGCACGGUCCACUUCACAACUUCCAUCUCUACCUCAACCAUGGAGUUGCUUUAAUUCGUUAUUCUACUGGCGAAGAAGCUGCCAAGGCCCAAAGUGCUUUGAACAACUGCGUGCUCGGAAACACGACGAUUUAUGCAGAUCUAGCCAACGAAUCUGAUGUGCAGGGCUGGCUGCAGCAGCUUGGCAUGCCCGCCCAACAGCAGCAACAACAGCAGCAGCAACAAAAUCAACAACAGCAACAGCAAGCUGUUUCCUCCAGUGGGUGGGGCGUCAGGGGCUCUACUCCUGGCGCCGGUUCUAACAGCGGAAGCGGCAACGGAGGUGGUGUAGGAAGCAACGCCUCAAAGGGAAGUGCCAACGCCGGAGAUAAUUGGGGAUCUGGUGCCGGUGGUCCUAGUUCGAGCCCAUGGUCGACGGGUCCCAAUUCAGUCUGGUCUACUCCGAACUUGGAUCGUGAUUUGAGAACCACGCCGUCAUCGCUGAACGCAUCGCUCAACUCGUUUCUGCCUGGCGAUCUCCUGGGCAACGAGUCCAUGUAAAAGUGAGGAUACAAACACACGUGACUCAAAAACAAAGCAAAAGAGAAUCGACAAAAUUACGUGUCAAUUUGAGAAUAGAUGAGAGAAGAGAAAAAUACCAAGAUUUGAAGCCGAUCAGCAGAAUUAACUUCGUAUCCUUUGGGCAGCUUUCUUUUCUCUCCCUACCUUACCUCUCAUCCCUUUUACCCUCCCGUCUGUAUUUUGGUUUGGACUUGAAGAAAAAUUUGAGAUUGUUUUCCUAAUUAUUAUUUUUCCCCCUCGUCCUCCUUUGCUUGUGUUGUAAUAGCCAUUUUCUUUUGUUUUUCUCCAUCUAUUCAUAAGAAUAAAUGACCUUGAUGAGACCUUUGAUUGAGGUGCCCAGUGCCUUUUUAUGUUAAUUUUUAUCCUAAAAGUAAAAAGAAAACCGAAGCAAAGGAGAAAGCAAGCACCCUUGGCGGAGAGGUGAUUUUCAGUCGGUCCCAAACUCGACACCCUGUUGUCGUUUGUAACACACAAGCAAAAGCGAGCGUUUGGAGAGUCUAGGAAGAGGGGAAACAGCUCCAAAUAAGUUACGAUGCAAGCCGUAGUAGACGAAUGAAAUACCCUGAACUAACACACGAGUCGAAAACAUCCUCCUAUCCACUCACGAACUUUUCAAUCCAAUCCGCAUCACUCCAGCCAACUUGGAACGAAAGUUGGUUGACGUGGCCUCCACACCGUUGGAUCUCGAUGCAAAAAGAAUGAACUUUGAUGCAGGCAAACUGACUCGUCACCCUAAUCUUAUCUGUUGAUUCGACAAGAACAUAUGACUCGUGAUUUUACAAUGAUUUGAGGAAUUUCCAAUUGAUUAUUUUGAAUUAUUUGUCUGAAUUUGAAUUGAAAGAAUUUGGAAACAAAACCACUGCCAUGCAAUUUACAUCAUUUUCAAAAUUUUAUUCUUUUGGAGGCAGCUUAACACACAUCCCCCACUCGCAUUAUCAAUCUACCUGUCCGUUUGAUCGUCAGCAGAUGUUUAUUUAUUUAUUUUUUUUUAAAUUUCUAACGGAACUUGCGUACCUCCGAUCAUGAGGUUGUGAUUUGAAAAUCUUGAAAUAAUUAAUGAAAGGCAAUCCGCAUCUGUCUGGAAGGGGAGGGAAAUUAUGUACAAGGGAGUUGUUAUUGUCUGAGAAAAUGACGUCGGCCAACUCCUCGCCGUCAAUCAUCAGCUCUUCCCUGCAUGCCAAAAAUUGUGUGAGAAAAAGGAAUACAAAUGAAUCCGUAUAUCCCUCCUCGGCGAUUGACAGUUUGCGCGAGAGAUCUGACUCACUUGUUUGUUUGUUUCAUUUUUUUUUUGCUUUUCUUUAUUGAAAACUCCUCUCUCAUUGGUCGUUUUUGAAUGUUUUUUGUAAACAGGAUAUACAGUUUAGCGAUGCCUAGUCACGAUGACUAAAACAUUGGCCAAAAAGAAUCAUAAAUCAAUCAAUAGACAAAACGGAAAUUUCUUCAAUCGGCGUGCGCUUUUCUUUUCUUUUUGAUUUGUUUGAAUUUUCCCGAUCGCAAAAAACUCAAUUUCUGACAUAUCCUCCUACCAAAAUAUCCUCCACACGAGCCAAUCAUUCACACAAACAAGCAAGACAAAAUAAGGGAAAAUUCUUGGAAGAAAAAAAACAUAACAAAAAGGAAAAAAAUGCGUUGGACUAACGAUUGCUGAAGAAAAAUCCCUUUUUUAUUAUUUUUUUUCCUUUUUAAGGGGCUUAUUAAAAACAAAAUAUACUUUCCAGAGACCAGGCUACAAAUGUUUGAAGUGAUUUUGCAUUAUUGAUGGAUCAAACCCAAGCCAUCAGAGCCAUGCGUUCCUUUCAUCUUCCUGUCGUUUGUAAAGAAAAAAAGAAGAAAAAUACCAAAGGUUGUUUUUGUAAAACUUGAAACGUUUUGUCAAACUGGGAUCGGGGAAAGAGACGAUCUUCUUUUCGAGCCUUUUCUGCCUUUCUCGUAGAGAACGACUUUUUAUUUGAAUAUUUUUAUCAUUUUUUUUAAAAAUAAAUUCAUGAAAAUCAACAAAUCCCGAAACAUUUGAGAAAAAAAGGAAACAAAUUUUUCACAUCUGUGGAAUAUUUUAUUUUACUUUCUUCUACUCCCGAUCGCACACGAGUAUCACAUUCUCUGUUGCCCUCUUCCGAAUCGGAUUACCGGUAGUGAUUUCAUUUGAAGAAGAAAAAAGAAAAGGAUUUAAUAAUAAAAAAAAAACGUAUUUGCUUUUUUAAAAAAGCAAACAGACGAAGACUAAAAAAAAAACAAAAGAAUCAAUUUUCCGAAUCGAUGGGACAUCCCGUACUUGAUGAUGCUAUGUAUGCCACUCUAAAAAUCUGUCACGUGUCUUUGUCUGUCUUGUCUGUGUAACUCUCUGUAGCCUCUACUCGAUAUAUUUCUGGUUUAGCCUAAACAAAAAUAGCUCCUGUUUUUUUUUUCAUUUAAUCUGCUCAUCAAAACGGGGGGAGGGAAACGUUCGUGUGUGUUUUCUAUCAGGUUUUUUUUUCGUUCUGGCUGAGAAAGGGGGAAAAUGUUCCAAAGACGUUGCUUUCUCCAUUCAAAAAACACACUUUCUAUUUAAACGUCGAUGAUAUCUAUAGCGCCUCGCUCUAAUAUAAUGUCAUAAAGUGGGAAACAAAAGCAAUUUCCCUGAUUUUGUUUGUUUUGACUUGAUUUUACUUACGCACGCUGCUUAGCCAAGAUAAAAGAAUUUCGUCAACUCACCCACCCCCCCAAAAAAAACAUGUGCGUUGAUGAAUUUCCAAACGUGUUGAGUGUGCCCCCCUAUAUUAAUCCUUGGUGAUUUAUCAAGCAGGUUUUUUUUCAAAAUAAUUUGUGUUUUCCUUAUUCUAUUGAGGCGUCGAUCUGUUAGUUGAGUUUGUCGCCAUUGCUUCACGGUCCUUUGAAAGAAAUUAGUUCUUUUCUUUGGGGGGGAUUUAAUUAGUAAGUGAUGAUUACCGUUAUAGGGAUUUUUGGCUGUUUUGUAAACCAUCUUCUCUCCCACCUCCUCCCACCCCCAGAUAAAAACGGAACAAUCCCGCCCACGAAGCCACGAUUCAUUAUGAGAAAAGAGAAAAAACCUAUUCAUCUGUCUGUGUGCGUGUGUGCGUGUUAUGUGUGUGUGUGUAUUAAACACACCGCCACGCCACAUGCUUUAUAUAACUCUCUCUCUCUCUCAUUAUAUCCGAUGAUUCAAAGAGGACAAUAUGCUGCAAAAAAUUCUAAUCGCCUGUGUCUGUUUUGGGUUUUUUUAAUUCUAUGCGUGUGACGUUAUUCAUUUUGUUUUCUGAAAUUCAGUGAAUCAUAUAUGAGUCUAUCUAUAUAUUUACGCGGGUGUAGGGUCAUAAAAGCUUUAGUAAAUUUUUUUUUAGACUCACUUUGGUCCCGAGUGUUCAAUAUCCGUGUGUUUUCCGCGCCUACCCUCCCAAUUAUUGUCUCUUCAACUGACGUUGGUAUAAACAAACUGUUACUGGACUGAAGAAGAGAAAAACAAAAAAUGUUCUGUUUGUGUUAGUCCCCACCCAAAAUUAUAAACGGGCUAAAAUGGGGCAAGUGUCUUAAAAAGAAAAGGGUGAGAAAAAAAGCAUAAUAACCUAGUGUUCCGUCGGUCUGGUCGUCUUCGCAGUUAUAUCCCCCCCCCCCCACGUUAUUAUUAUUAUUAUUAUUUUUUCGAUUGAUAACCUAUCUUAUAAUUAUUAUCAUAUAUUUACACUGCUUUAUGUGGCCAUUUUUCGAUAAAACCAAACGACAAAACAAAAAGACUGGGACAGCCUAUCGAUUGAUAAACUGUGAAGUCAUCAGACAAGUUGACAAAAUGUUAAUUACAUCAGAAAAGAAUGGCCAUUUCUUGACUGUGUGUCUGCGUGUGUGUGAUGUCAGAAAAAGGGAAAAAACAAACAGAAACA